Molecule: ribosomal RNA, 254 nt
Filed under: uncultured bacterium
Lineage: Bacteria
Description: partial 16S ribosomal RNA
Rfam family: Bacterial small subunit ribosomal RNA
Source: RNAcentral
UACGGGGGGGGCAAGCGUUGUUCGGAAUUACUGGGCGUAAAGGGUGCGUAGGCGGCGCGGUACGUCGGGUGUGAAAUCUCGGAGCUUAACUCCGAAACUGCAUUCGAUACUGCCGUGCUUGAGGACUGGAGAGGAGACUGGAAUUUACGGUGUAGCGGUGAAAUGCGUAGAUAUCGUAAGGAAGACCAGUGGCGAAGGCGGGUCUCCUGGACAGUUCCUGACGCUGAGGCACGAAGGUCAGGGGAGCAAACGGG